Molecule: ribosomal RNA, 894 nt
Filed under: uncultured bacterium
Lineage: Bacteria
Description: bacterial SSU rRNA
Rfam family: Bacterial small subunit ribosomal RNA
Source: RNAcentral
ACGAACUCUGGUAUUGAUUGGUGCUUGCAUCAUGAUUUACAUUUGAGUGAGUGGCGAACUGGUGAGUAACACGUGGGAAACCUGCCCAGAAGCGGGGGAUAACACCUGGAAACAGAUGCUAAUACCGCAUAACAACUUGGACCGCAUGGUCCGAGUUUGAAAGAUGGCUUCGGCUAUCACUUUUGGAUGGUCCCGCGGCGUAUUAGCUAGAUGGUGAGGUAACGGCUCACCAUGGCAAUGAUACGUAGCCGACCUGAGAGGGUAAUCGGCCACAUUGGGACUGAGACACGGCCCAAACUCCUACGGGAGGCAGCAGUAGGGAAUCUUCCACAAUGGACGAAAGUCUGAUGGUGCAACGCCGCGUGAGUGAAGAAGGGUUUCGGCUCGUAAAACUCUGUUGUUAAAGAAGAACAUAUCUGAGAGUAACUGUUCAGGUAUUGACGGUAUUUAACCAGAAAGCCACGGCUAACUACGUGCCAGCAGCCGCGGUAAUACGUAGGUGGCAAGCGUUGUCCGGAUUUAUUGGGCGUAAAGCGAGCGCAGGCGGUUUUUUAAGUCUGAUGUGAAAGCCUUCGGCUCAACCGAAGAAGUGCAUCGGAAACUGGGAAACUUGAGUGCAGAAGAGGACAGUGGAACUCCAUGUGUAGCGGUGAAAUGCGUAGAUAUAUGGAAGAACACCAGUGGCGAAGGCGGCUGUCUGGUCUGUAACUGACGCUGAGGCUCGAAAGUAUGGGUAGCAAACAGGAUUAGAUACCCUGGUAGUCCAUACCGUAAACGAUGAAUGCUAAGUGUUGGAGGGUUUCCGCCCUUCAGUGCUGCAGCUAACGCAUUAAGCAUUCCGCCUGGGGAGUACGGCCGCAAGGCUGAAACUCAAAGGAAUUGACGGGGGCCCGC